This 424-nucleotide ribosomal RNA is filed under the name uncultured prokaryote. Its description in RNAcentral is "bacterial SSU rRNA". It matches the Rfam family "Bacterial small subunit ribosomal RNA", at positions 355 to 796 of the family's 1533-position model. The record is from RNAcentral.
UGGGGAAUCUUAGACAAUGGGGGAAACCCUGAUCUAGCCAUGCCGCGUGUGUGACGAAGGCCCUAGGGUCGUAAAGCACUUUCGCCGGGGAAGAUAAUGACUGUACCCGGUAAAGAAGUCCCGGCUAACUCCGUGCCAGCAGCCGCGGUAAUACGGAGGGGACUAGCGUUGUUCGGAAUUACUGGGCGUAAAGCGCGCGUAGGCGGGCUGGUCAGUCAGGGGUGAAAUCCCGGGGCUCAACCCCGGAACUGCCCUUGAUACUGCCAGCCUUGAGUUCUGGAGAGGUGAGUGGAAUUCCGAGUGUAGAGGUGAAAUUCGUAGAUAUUCGGAGGAACACCAGUGGCGAAGGCGGCUCACUGGCCAGACACUGACGCUGAGGUGCGAAAGCGUGGGGAGCAAACAGGAUUAGAUACCCCUGUAGUCC